This 253-nucleotide ribosomal RNA is filed under the name uncultured bacterium. RNAcentral describes it as "partial 16S ribosomal RNA". It matches the Rfam family "Bacterial small subunit ribosomal RNA", at positions 524 to 776 of the family's 1533-position model. The record is from RNAcentral.
UACGGGGGGGGCAAGCGUUGUUCGGAAUUACUGGGCGUAAAGGGCUCGUAGGCGGCCAACUAAGUCAGACGUGAAAUCCCCAGGCUCAACCUGGGAACUGCGUCUGAUACUGGUUGGCUUGAAUCCGGGAGAGGGAUGCAGAAUUCCAGGUGUAGCGGUGAAAUGCGUAGAUAUCUGGAGGAAUACCGGUGGCGAAGGCGGCAUCCUGGACCGGCAUUGACGCUGAGGCACGAAAGCCAGGGGAGCAAACGGG